Molecule: ribosomal RNA, 492 nt
Filed under: uncultured bacterium
Lineage: Bacteria
Description: partial 16S ribosomal RNA
Rfam family: Bacterial small subunit ribosomal RNA
Source: RNAcentral
AUUGAACGCUGGCGGCAUGCUUUACACAUGCAAGUCGAACGGUAACACGCCUUCGUUUGCUGUCGAGUGUCGGACGGGUGAGUAAUGCAUCCGAACGUACCCAGAGGUUGUGGGUAACGCAGCGAAAGCUGUGCUAAGACCGCAUGUGAUCUGAUGAUUAGAACGGGGGAGCGCGCAGCAAUGUUUGGCCUCUCGCCUUUGGAACGGCUGAUUCCGGAUUAGCUAGUUGGUUGGGUAACGGCCUACCAAGGCGACGAUCCGUAGCUUGCCUGAGAGGACGAUCGGCCACACUGGGACUGAGACACGGUCCAGACUCCUACGGGAGGCAGCAGUGGGGAAUAUUGCGCAAUGGGCGGAAGCCUGAUGCAGCAACGCCGCGUGAGGGAUGACGGCCUUCGGGUUGUAAAACGCUUUUGCUAGUGAAGAAACGGUGUCUGCUAAUACCGGGAGAUAAUGACGGUACCUGAACAAAAAGCAACGGCUAACUACGUG